CGAUGGACUCUGGGAAUUGUAGUCAAGAGCGCUCGGAGGCGCCAUGGCCAGGAAGAAACUGCAUGCACCACUUAGGUGAAAACACCGCAGCUGCGAUCAUCGAGAAGCAGGAACGAGCUGAGAUUUCUUGUCUGGAAAGACAGAAAGAGCUCUGUCACCUGAAGCCCAGGGUAGAUGAGAUGGCCCAACCCGUGUUUACAGCUCUGCCAGUAAGGACUUGACUGCUGCCAAGCCCGAUGAUCAGAAUUUAACCCCCAGAACACAUGGAGGAAGGAGAAUCCAGCUUCCAAAUGUCCUCCUACUCCCACACAUUUACACGUUGAAAAUAAAAGGAGUCAAAAACUGAA
Long non-coding RNA from Meriones unguiculatus (Mongolian gerbil), 347 nucleotides. RefSeq lists it as uncharacterized. The record is from RefSeq and is a predicted model, not a curated record. NCBI's taxonomy places the organism in Eukaryota, Metazoa, Chordata, Mammalia, Rodentia, Muridae. The transcript has 2 exons.